Long non-coding RNA from Ictalurus punctatus (channel catfish), 1605 nucleotides. RefSeq lists it as uncharacterized. The transcript has 2 exons. The record is from RefSeq and is a predicted model, not a curated record. Lineage: Eukaryota; Metazoa; Chordata; Actinopteri; Siluriformes; Ictaluridae.
CACACACACACACAUACACACACACACACACACACACACACCACAUAUAGUGUCUCUGCUAUCCAACACUGCAGUGAGGUGAUUGCAGUGAGAGCAAUGACACUUCACAUUGAUGGUCUAAUUAUUUAAGAGGAAACUACACUGUGUGCUACUUGUCUAUAAACUGGAGUUUAUCACUGAAGGAUGUGGUGGGGAUAUAAAAAAAAAGAUGAUACAAAUUCACACUCAUAUACACAGAGGUCUUCAUUGUGUUCAAGUGUGUAUUUAUAUAUGUAACUACUGUAUAUCCCAGGAGGUCCAUGUGUAUAAACACACAUACAUAUGCAUUUAUAAUUAGAUCAUUAUUGGAUGCAUGUAAUCAGGGGGGAAGAGCAAGAGAGAUGGGGAAUGAGAGAGUGGGAUAUACUGUCAAGGGUCAAUGAAAGUAAGGGGAGGGGAAAAGAGCCUGAGGAAGAGAGAAUGAGGAGGAGGGUGUGUGUGGUGCAAGCUCUAUAGGGUGUGCAUUAUGGACUGAGAGAGUGAGAAAGCCAGGCAAUUGGAGGAUGAGAGGGGGAAUGCAGUGAGGAUAGGUCAGUGAUACAGAUCAUCAGAUAACCAUUUAUCUCCUCUGGACCAUAUUAGCUACACAUCAGAGUGUUCAAGCCUAUUUAGGACAGUGAUGAGAGAACCGAGGAGCCCUGCAGUGGACAAACUUUCCUGCUUGUGUGUUGGGGGGACAGACAGAGAGAUGGGAAGAGGGAGAGAGUGUUAGAGUGUGAAGCAGAAUGAGAAAGAGACAGAAAGAAAGAAAGACACAUAGCAAGAAAUAGGAAAAAAGGAGGAAAGAGAUUGCAGAGGCCGGAGUAGAAGAGCGGAAGAGCCAAGACACUCUCUUCCUUCCUGUUUGGUGCAUUGGCCCAUUAGAAACUGAACCUGUGGGACUUAAUCUGAUGGCUACCCACUAGAUUCUGACUGUGGAUGUGAGCUCCAGCACUACUGUCCCCCUCAUCACAGAAUGCUUUGCUAAAGCUGGUAAAAUGGAACCAAAUCAACUGUUCUAUGGAUUUGGUCCCCUUCAACCAGCUGUAGCUGUGCAUUGAUCACCCCAGAGUGCAGUAAGAUAGACAAAGAAGAUCUGGGAGCACACAAACACAUACUAACACUCUACAGGAUUCACCUUACAACUAUAUACCAUAUCAGACAGGAUCUGAGCAUCAUAUGGAUUUCCUGAUCCAGCUAGAACACCAACCUGAUGCAUUUCACCCCACACUUUAUGAUCUCUAAUAACAUGAUUAAAUACUGUGAGGUUACUAAAACCCAGGUGAACAUUAGCCAUGUCAUGCUGUUCAACUCUUUAUGACUGAUAAUAUCUGAUUAUGAAUCCAGUCCUGACUGCAGUCAGUGGAAUAGGGGUUUGCUGAGUUUUAUGGCUGCCCAUUGAUUUCUUGUCUUGCUGGUGAAAGAGAGAGAUGUGGAGGGACAGGACAGGAGAGAGGAAUGCACGUCAGGCUGCUGAAUAAGUAAAGCAAUCGUUCCUUUUUUCCUGUUUUUUUUUUUCCCUUCACAUUCGUCGUGAUCCUUAAUGCUUGUUUCUGAUCAAUAAAAGCUCAUCCUGAGGUCCAUAAA